GCUAGUAGAAGACCUGGAUCUAGAAGACAUGUCUCCUGAGCAACUGCUGUGCUCUGCUCUUUCUCCUGUUAUUUCAAGACAGGAGGUCCUGAUAAGGAAUGCAGAACUAACCAGAAGAAUUCGGGAAAGGUCAAAAAGAAGACAUCACGUGUCCCACCACCUCCCAGAAUCCUUGUUGCAUCCAUCUUGGCUGAGCAAUGAGAAGCCCGCUGCCAAGAUGUGAGGACACUCCAGUAGACCUAUGGAAAGAUCCAUUGGUAAGGGACCAAGGCCUGCUGCCCAUGGUCAGUGGGAUGAGAAGCUUUCUGCCAGCUGCCGUGUAUGUGAGUGAGCCAUCGGGAAGGUGAAUCAGCCAACCUUGCUCAAAGCUUCA
Bos taurus (domestic cattle) is the source of this 373-nucleotide long non-coding RNA. The record is from Ensembl. Lineage: Eukaryota; Metazoa; Chordata; Mammalia; Artiodactyla; Bovidae.